UAUCCGGAAUUAUUGGGCGUAAAGGGCUCGUAGGCGGUUCGUCGCGUCCUGUGUGAAAGUCCAUCGCUUAACGGUGGAUCCGCGCCGGGUACGGGCGGGCUUGAGUGCGGUAGGGGAGACUGGAAUUCCCGGUGUAACGGUGGAAUGUGUAGAUAUCGGGAAGAACACCAAUGGCGAAGGCGGGUCUCUGGGCCGUCACUGACGCUGAGGAGCGAAAGCGUGGGGAGCGAACAGGAUUAGAUACCCUGGUAGUCCACGCCGUAAACGGUGGAUGCUGGAUGUGGGGACCAUUCCACGGUCUCCGUGUCGGAGCCAACGCGUUAAGCAUCCUGCCUGGGGAGUACGGCCGCAAGGCUAAAACUCAAAGAAAUUGACGGGGGCCCGCACCAGCGGCGGAGCAUGCGGAUUAAUUCGA
This 415-nucleotide ribosomal RNA is filed under the name uncultured bacterium. Its description in RNAcentral is "bacterial SSU rRNA". It matches the Rfam family "Bacterial small subunit ribosomal RNA", at positions 542 to 954 of the family's 1533-position model. The record is from RNAcentral.